AUAAUGCAGUCGAACGCACUCUCGUUUAGAUUGAAGGAGCUUGCUCCUGAUUGAUAAACAUUUGAGUGAGUGGCGGACGGGUGAGUAACACGUGGGUAACCUGCCCUAAAGUGGGGGAUAACAUUUGGAAACAGAUGCUAAUACCGCAUAAAACCUAACACCGCAUGGUGUAGGGUUGAAAGAUGGUUUCGGCUAUCACUUUAGGAUGGACCCGCGGUGCAUUAGUUAGUUGGUGAGGUAAAGGCUCACCAAGACCGUGAUGCAUAGCCGACCUGAGAGGGUAAUCGGCCACACUGGGACUGAGACACGGCCCAGACUCCUACGGGAGGCAGCAGUAGGGAAUCUUCCACAAUGGACGAAAGUCUGAUGGAGCAACGCCGCGUGAGUGAAGAAGGUUUUCGGAUCGUAAAACUCUGUUGUUGGAGAAGAAUGUAUCUGAUAGUAACUGAUCAGGUAGUGACGGUAUCCAACCAGAAAGCCACGGCUAACUACGUGCCAGCAGCCGCGGUAAUACGUAGGUGGCAAGCGUUGUCCGGAUUUAUUGGGCGUAAAGCGAGCGCAGGCGGUUUCUUAAGUCUGAUGUGAAAGCCUUCGGCUCAACCGAAGAAGUGCAUCGGAAACUGGGAAACUUGAGUGCAGAAGAGGACAGUGGAACUCCAUGUGUAGCGGUGAAAUGCGUAGAUAUAUGGAAGAACACCAGUGGCGAAGGCGGCUGUCUGGUCUGUAACUGACGCUGAGGCUCGAAAGCAUGGGUAGCAAACAGGAUUAGAUACCCUGGUAGUCCAUGCCGUAAACGAUGAGUGCUAGGUGUUGGAGGGUUUCCGCCCUUCAGUGCCGCAGCUAACGCAUUAAGCACUCCGCCUGGGGAGUACGACCGCAAGGUUGAAACUCAAGGAAUUGACGGGGGCCCGCACAAGCGGUGGAGCAUGU
This 930-nucleotide ribosomal RNA is filed under the name Latilactobacillus sakei. RNAcentral's name for it is "bacterial SSU rRNA". It matches the Rfam family "Bacterial small subunit ribosomal RNA", at positions 51 to 942 of the family's 1533-position model. The record is from RNAcentral. Lineage: Bacteria; Bacillati; Bacillota; Bacilli; Lactobacillales; Lactobacillaceae.